AGAGUUUGAUCAUGGCUCAGGACGAACGCUGACGGCGUGCUUAACACAUGCAAGUCUACCUGAAGUCAAAGCUUGCUUUGGCGGAAAGUGGCGAACGGGUGAGUAACGCGUAGAUAAUCUUCCCCUUAAUUUGGGAUAGCUUUGGGAAACCGAAAGUAAUACCGAAUAAAAUCUUGAGAUCGCAUGAUUUUAAGAUUAAAGGCAUUUGGCUGUUAAGGGAUGAGUCUGCGUACCAUUAGCUAGUUGGUAAGGUAAAAGCUUACCAAGGCUAUGAUGGUUAGCUGGUCUGAGAGGAUGAUCAGCCACACUGGGACUGAGAUACGGCCCAGACUCCUACGGGAGGCAGCAGUGAGGAAUAUUGCACAAUGGGGGGAACCCUGAUGCAGCAACGCCGUGUGAGUGAAGAAUCAGUUUAUCUGUGUAAAGCUCUGUUGAGAGGGACGAAAAAGAAGCUUAGGAGGCUUCAUUGACGGUACCUUUUAAGAAAGCUCCGGCUAACUCCGUGCCAGCAGCCGCGGUAAUACGGAGGGGGCAAGCGUUGUCCGGAAUCAUUGGGCGUAAAGGGCAUGUAGGUGGGUUUUUAAGUCAGUUGUAAAAUAUUAAGGCUCAACCUUAAUUCGCAAUUGAUACUGGGAAUCUUGAGUUCGAGAGGGGAUGGUAGAAUAUCUAGUGUAGCGGUGGAAUGCGUAGAUAUUAGAUAGAAUACCUGAGGCGAAGGCGACUGUCUGGCUCGACACUGACACUGAAAUGCGAAAGUAUGGGUAGCAAACAGGAUUAGAUACCCUGGUAGUCCAUACCGUAAACGAUGGAUACUAGGUGUCCGGGGACUAGUCCCCUGGGUGCCGUAGCUAACGCACUAAGUAUCCCGCCUGGGGAGUACGAUCGCAAGGUUGAAACUCAAAGGAAUUGACGGGGGCCCGCACAAGCGGUGGAGCAUGUGGUUUAAUUCGA
Molecule: ribosomal RNA, 951 nt
Filed under: uncultured marine bacterium
Lineage: Bacteria
Description: bacterial SSU rRNA
Rfam family: Bacterial small subunit ribosomal RNA
Source: RNAcentral